This 1145-nucleotide long non-coding RNA is filed under the name Toxoplasma gondii VEG. The record is from RNAcentral. Lineage: Eukaryota; Apicomplexa; Conoidasida; Eucoccidiorida; Sarcocystidae.
GGAAACUACAUCCUUCUUGGUGACACAUUUUCUAACCAGCUGUGCUGGCCAGCUCAUUCUGAGUUGUGUCGGCCUGAAUCGAACUCAGUCCUGAUCAUUUCCUGCUGUUUCCCGCAGCAACCCUGUUUGCUCACCUUUCCGUGCAAUGCGCCGAGAGGGUGCCACGCAGCAAUCAACACUUUCUCUAGCUCAAAUUUCAUGCGACCAUGCCUUUUCCCUCAAUUUUUUCCUUUUGACGCUUUGCAUUCACCCUGAUUCCGAGCACGGUUUGUGCAAAAUGAAAACUACACUUCUUUUCCUGGCCCUCCUCUCCGGCUGUUUGGCUCCAGCUGCCUUUCAGGCUUUCGCUGCCAGCCCCCGAAGUAGGCCACUACCGACAGGAAGACGCGAUGUACCGUAAUGCCCAUGGAAGAGUUGAUUUGCUUGAAACGGAAACGAUUGAGGGGUUGAAAACAACACUCCAGAAUACAUCGCUUUUUGCGGCAGUAUCGAUCAAUGAACGGUCCCAAAUAUUGACGUAACACUGGCCCCCUACUGGGGCCCUGCCAGAAGCCCUUACACGAAACCAGGACCCCCACCCUUUCUGGUGGUGGCUUCAUUUUCGCAAAACGUUCCAGGCCAAAUUAGUUCUCUACUUUUGACAAGAUGGAUCCCCUCAGACGCCUUCGUUUAUCUGUCAGGUGUAAAUGCUGUACACACCGGAUGCCGGCUGCGUGUAUCCAUGUGUACCGACGUGAAGCGCAUAUCUCGUAUAUCUCGACGUACGGCCGUUUCCUUUUGAACAGAAUAAUUGGAAGGACAGGAGGAGAUUGCAACUGUUGAGUUCUGUAUUCGUGCUACGCGAGGAAAAGGAGGGGUGGCAUCACUGAUGGGAACUACAGGAAGGCGGUUUGAACAAACCUCCCUACUACCCUACAAAUUUGGUGUAACCCUAACAACGGUGUCGAUCUGCCAGUUACACCAAAGUCCUGUUUUCGCGUUGAAAGGCGUGUAUAUGUGCUCACCAAUCGCAGCAAACAACGUCUGUUACAGCGUUUGCUCAUGGGCGGACUCAGUGCCCGGCAUUUCUAGACACCAUUGUGCGGAAGGUGUACACUCGCAAGCUCACACCUUUUCCUGACUUUCUCUCCUUGACGAUGUUUCCA